Non-coding RNA from Poecilia reticulata (guppy), 695 nucleotides. Lineage: Eukaryota; Metazoa; Chordata; Actinopteri; Cyprinodontiformes; Poeciliidae. The record is from RefSeq and is a predicted model, not a curated record.
CUUCUGCUCAGUUUUAGAUUGUGCUCUGCCUGUAGUUUUAGCAAGGGCAGCAGAGGACGUGAAGGAAGCAGUUCAGUCAGUGAUGAAUAUUUAACAUAACCAGCCGCCUUGGUCAGAUCAGUUCUUCUCUCUUCACAGUGGAGGAUGGUUGUUUACAAUGCAAACAAUUUCUGGUAAGCUUCUUAGCAUCCAAGUGCCUCUCUACAUACGUCAUGGACAAAUGUUAGUGAUUGGGUAAAAAUAAAAUCCACUACGCCUCCAGGAAGUAAUUCACCAGUCAAAGGUCCUCUAGAAUCUUAUUUGACAUUACAACUCUCAUGCUAAAUGUUGCGCUGAAGACACAGCAGAUAAAUAAGGGAGCACAUAAAGGCAUAUCUGCUGUUCACCUCAUUUGUAUUAUUUUCCGUCAGGGAUGAAAAGAGACGACAUUAAUAACAAGGUUAGUAUUUCUUUUCAGCCCUUUUCAUCUUCUCUCUUUGAGUAGCUGAUGUACCACCUUGUUGUUCCUCCCUUAGUCUGUAGUGAAAACUGCAUCUCAUAGUAAAACAAAGUGGAUAAAGAGCCAAAAUCAGUAUGGACAUGGAGAGGAAUUUAGUUCUCUGAAUAAAGUCACAUGCUGACUGCAAUCCAGUUGCUCUUUACAGGACCAACUUGGUGUUGCUGAAUAAAUAUUGUGGCGUUUUUCUAUCAUGAUA